RNAcentral lists this long non-coding RNA (458 nucleotides) under Citrus maxima (pomelo). RNAcentral describes it as "long non-coding RNA (CMAX_LNC000279)". The record is from RNAcentral. Lineage: Eukaryota; Viridiplantae; Streptophyta; Magnoliopsida; Sapindales; Rutaceae.
AAUCAGCCCCUCUCCCUGGUCUUCAACAGAACCAGCAGUCUUCAGUUCAGCAAUCAACACAACCCAUGAUGCAGCAGCAUCCACAAUCAGUCCUUAGGCCGCAGCAACAACAGCAACAAACUGUGGGUAUUCAUCAACAGCAAACACCAAUGCCACAGCAGUCAGUAAUGCCAUCACAACAACAGCAACAGCAGCAGCUAAUGGGACAACAACCAAACACUGUAAACAUGCAGCAGAGUCAGUUGAUUGGCCAACAAAACAAUGUUGGAGACAUGCAGCAGCAGCAGAGGUUGCUUGGCCAGCAGAGUAAUCUUCCAAACUUGCAGCAGCAACAACAGCAGCAACAGCAACAGCAACAGCAACAGCAGCAGCAGUUAAUGGCUCAGCAAAACCUCUCAAGUAUGCAUCAUCAACAGUUGGGCCCACAAAGUAAUGUUUCAGGAUUACAGCAGCAGCCG